UCGUGCCAAGUGACAGUUUUUCCCAAAUUUGGAUGCGUUGCUGAAGCGCAAUGUUCUACUCCAGUUUUAACGAGAAACGCAAAAGAUUCGAAAAUGAUCCGAAGAGAUCUUCCCUGGAGAGGCGAAGGAAGGCCCUCUUCGCCUCACUUGAGUCUUUAGAUUUCGAUCACGAUAUGGCGACGGAUUUUUCAACGGAAAACACAAACGGCACCGAUAUUACAACGACAAUGAUGAAUUUGAAAAACAAUUUGGCACCGAGAGGCGUAACCGUUUCCACAACAUCUCAGUUACAGUCAAAUUCUCACACCAGUACGACUACAACUCGAGUUGCCAAAUCAUCGGUAUCAUCCUCAUCGACCACAUCGAGUUCCCAAAGGGUUCACCUAACAUCGACGUCAUCGACAGACCGCAAAGCCUCAUCAAUGAAAUCGGACUUGAACGAGCUCAAAAACAACAUGAACGAAAUGAAGAACCUAUCGAACAUCAACGCCCUGAAGAAACUACGAAGCUCUUUGGAAAAUUUGGUCGACGUCGAAGAUAACGACAUGACGCAACCGUUAGUUUCCUUUCCCGAUUCGGACACGCCACCACCGUCAUCCGAGUUAGCGUCACCGACAUCGAAUCUGGACACCGUCAAAUUCGAACAGAAGACCGUCAAUAACUUCAAAGCGAGCAAGGUGGUUAAAGAUGGAUUCAGUGCCGAAAAAGCUAGUGCCAAUUGUGCCGAAGUCAAAAGGAUGCAGGCCGGAGAACUGUCAUACCAAGAAAACAGUGCUGCUGCAGCAUCGCACGCUCGUCUGGAAAUCGACGGCGUUUCGGCCGAGAAAAGCCAUCUUCAUGCAAAGGAGGCCAGAUCGUUGAAGUCGGGCGAACUGAGUCAACAGGAAUCGAAAAAUAUGGCGCACACAUCGAUGAAAGUGACAACGGACAGCUUCAGCCACGAGAAAACCGCGAUGGAAGCGCAACAGCAAAGACAAACGGUAACGAGUAGUGGAAUGUACAAUCAAGAAAAACACACCUCAUCUUCACAAUCAAAUAUCACAUACACCACAUCUAAAGGAAUACAUACUUCAUCCAGUUCCAUGUUGCAGUCUGCUGCAUCACAGUUUCAGCUGAUGAACGGUACCAGCAUCAAGCCAGACGAAGACCUAAUGAACAUGUCCUUUGAAGAUCUAGACCAGUUGUCGUCCACCACAAAUCAGCAAGACGUCGAAAGGGCCAUUUACAAAUAUUCCACAUACCUGGAUCUGUCGAUAAAAAAUUUGCAAAAAAAUAGUCUGGGCAAAAAGUCACCCGCAAUACUAAACAGAAUAAACGACGUAAUCCACAAGGCAUGGGCGGUACCAACGUACGGCCACGAGCUCGGAUACUCCCUCUGUAACACCUUGCGGAAUUGCGGGGGCUUAGACUUAAUUAUGACCAACUGUAUUACUUCGGACGAAGAUUUGCAAUUUUCUAGCGCUCGAUUGUUGGAGCAAUGUUUGACUACUGAAAAUAGGGCUCAUGUUGUUUCGCAUGGACUGGAUAAGGUGGUCAACGUGGCUUGCAUGUGUACGCGGCACUCGAACUCAGUUGCGCAUGCGCGUGUGGGGACCGGAAUAUUAGAACAUUUAUUUAAACACAGUGAGGAAACGUGUAGUGAUGUGAUUAGACUCGGUGGUUUAGAUGCGUUGCUGUUCGAAUGUCGAAAAAGUGAUGUGGAAACCUUAAGGCACUGUGCCGGAGCUCUUGCCAACUUGAGUUUGUACGGUGGCGCUGAGAACCAGGAAGCUAUGAUCAAACGAAAAGUACCUAUGUGGUUAUUCCCUCUUGCCUUUCACACCGACGAUAACAUAAAAUAUUACGCUUGCCUAGCAAUAACCGUUUUAGUUGCGAAUGCCGAAAUCGAAUCCGAAGUAUUACAGUCGGGCACCUUGGGCCUGGUCGAACCGUUCGUCACCACCCACAACCCCUCGGAAUUUGCACGAUCGAAUCUGGCGCACGCCCACGGCCAGAGCAAAACGUGGCUCAAACAUUUGGUGCCAGUUUUGAGUUCCAAGCGUGAGGAGGCGAGGAAUCUGGCCGCUUUCCACUUCUGCAUGGAGGCGGGAAUCAAAAAACAGCAGGGCAACACAAAUAUCUUCGCCGAAAUUGGCGCGAUCGAAUCGUUGAAGAGGGUGGCCAGUUGUCCUAACGCGGUUGCGUCCAAGUACGCCGCCCAAGCGCUUCGACUGAUAGGCGAAGAAGUGCCGCACAAACUAAGCCAACAAGUUCCUUUAUGGUCCACUGAAGACGUCGAGGAGUGGGUCAAACAGAUCGGUUUUAACGAAUACACCAAUAGCUUCGUGGAGAGUCGAGUUGACGGUGAUCUUCUACUGCAAAUAACCGAAGAGAAUCUUCGGGAUGAUAUAGGAUUAACGAACGGAAUUAAACGAAAGCGAUUUACGCGCGAGUUAGAAAACUUGAAGAAAAUGGCGGACUACAGUUCGCGAGAUGCGGCAAACAUUAAUAGCUUUAUGCAGUCGUUAGGACAAGAGUUUAGUAUAUACACGUACGGCAUGUUAAAUGCGGGUAUCGAAACGAAAGAAUCUCUAAGGAAUUUAUCCGAGGAUCAAUUGCUUAGGGAGUGUAGCAUAGUAAAUUCCAUACAUAGGCUAAGGAUAAUGGAGGCGAUUCGUGCGUUAGAGAACGGUUUAUCGUAUUUGAACGACGAUAGUAUGGAUAAAUCGUUGGACGUUUUCGUUAGCUAUAGGCGAUCGAACGGUUCUCAGUUAGCGAGUUUACUAAAAGUUCACUUGCAAUUAAGAGGAUUUAGUGUAUUCAUCGACGUCGAGAGGUUGGAGGCGGGAAAGUUCGACAACAAUUUGUUGCAAAGUAUACAAAAGGCCAAGCACUUCCUUCUAGUUUUAACUCCAAAUGCCUUGGAAAGGUGUAUCGGUGAUGGCGACAGAAAAGAUUGGGUACAUCGAGAAAUCGUUGCGGCCUUACAGUCCCAGUGUAACAUUAUUCCUAUUAUCGACAAUUUCCAAUGGCCCGAGGCCGAAGAAUUACCCGAGGAUAUGCGACAAGUGUGCCAUUUCAAUGGUGUUCGGUGGAUACACGAUUAUCAAGACGCCUGUGUGGACAAACUUGAAAGGUUCAUGCGAGGCGAGAUCAAUACCAGAACUGAUCUGCACUGUGGGCGUGUCGCUAUGAAUAAGGGCGACAUAACACCUGGCACUCCUUCGAAUCCAUCGUUAGUUCGUCAACCUCCCAACUAUCAACGAAUGCACAGCAACGACUCGGGUAGCGGAAAAGGAUCUGAUAAAGAUGUCAACGGGAAUUCGGGAUUGUCUAGGGAUUGACUAGAUGGUCCCCCAGCCUCGGUUACAACCUCCCCAUUGCCUAGGUAGUUUCUGGAAUCAGAUUUUAUAAAUCUUCAAGUCCAUCUCGGAAUUGGAUGAUGGGUUCUGGUAAAUACCCCCGCGGUCUGCCGCCCCAAUAUCCGAUCUCGCUUCGUCGAGGUUCGAAUUCGCCGGUGUCGCCGGCGUCCAUGGACAGUCCUUCGCCGGUUCCGAACAGAUCUCGAAGUUUGGAUGGACUACUCGAUAACGAGCCUUUGGAAAUUGUGUCGUCGACAGCUUCAGAAGCGACUCCGUCCGAAAUAUCGCAAAAAUCGCAAAGUUGUGAUAGUAACUUAGACAUGAAAAUCUCAGAUGAAACUAUUCAUGUAGAUAAAGAGACUGAAAAAUUAAAUAAUAGAAAUAGUAGCAUAAGUAAUACGAGUAGUAGAACGCAAAAUUUCGAGAGCAGCCUGGAAGGGUCACUGGAUUCGAACGAAAUUAGUAAAUCGUCCAACCUAAGUUUACAUAGUAACUCGAGUGAUAAUUCGAAACAGAAACGGAAAUUUGUAAAUCGGUGCGUUAAUAAAGUGCGAUCUCUUAUUAAGAAAUAGUUUAAUA
RNA transcript from Photinus pyralis (common eastern firefly), 3920 nucleotides. It is a transcript of the gene named sterile alpha and TIR motif-containing protein 1, with no coding region annotated. The record is from RefSeq and is a predicted model, not a curated record. Lineage: Eukaryota; Metazoa; Arthropoda; Insecta; Coleoptera; Lampyridae. The transcript is spliced from 10 exons.